RNAcentral lists this long non-coding RNA (1255 nucleotides) under Marmota monax (woodchuck). The record is from RNAcentral. Lineage: Eukaryota; Metazoa; Chordata; Mammalia; Rodentia; Sciuridae.
UUUUUUUAUUAUUUUUUCAGGCAGUGACAUUCUUCAGGGCAGUGAAGGACAGAGCUUAGCCUGUGAUCACAAAAAUGUUAGUCUUAUUUCCUAGGCUGUUAGAGCAAGGGAAGAAGAAAAGCAGGGGAAAAGUCAGUUUUAAAAUCGGCCACCUGGACUGUUUAUACUGAAAGCAUCAAGUGGACCCCAUUAUGCUCAGGUAGGAAAAGGAAUGGAAGCGUUCCCUGUCAAAUGUACAUAAGGCCACUAUAGACCACUGCAAGGUGGAAAGUCGGCUCCAGACUCCACACUCAGCAGAAUCCAUCCUCCCACCAAGGCAGGCCAUCCCAGCCUUGCCAGCUUAUUCUCAGCAUGCCCACCAGGUAGUCAGUGGAGCUGGACUGAGAAUUUAAAUUGGGGACAGAAUAGCUAGGCUGGUUUUAUGCUCCUGAGCAUGUGGUAGAGAAAAUACAAAUCAUCUUUGGAGGAACAAGAUUAAUUUUAAUCCUCAACAAAUUCCCACGGGAGGGGGGGGGGGGAGUAAAAGGUGAAAUAAGCAGAAACUUUCAUAUAUUAAAAAAACAAAAAAAAAGCUUUAAUGUCUUUUAAAAAAGAUUUCAAACAUGUAAGGAAUUAAAAAAAAAUACAAAGAUAACAGAAUUGAAAAAAGAACCAAAUAGGAAUUUUAGAAAAUAAAUUAACAAAUAUACAAUUAGUUAGAAUUAAAACUAAAAGUUUAAUGGAUGGGUUUAAAAGCUCAUUGAACCCAACUAAAGGAAUUUAAUGAACUGUGCAUCAAGGUUAUAUAAAGUUAUCUAAAGUAAUUAUCCAGAGUGCAUAGAGAAAAAUGUAAAAGUAAUUUUUUAAAAAAUCUAUAUUUAGUAACAAAAUGAUCUGACAUGCUUGUAAUUUAUGUAUAACUGAUCAUGUUUGAAAAGCAAAUAUAAAUUAUUGUUAUGUAAUCAUAAUACUGUAGUAUCAGAAUGAUACAGAUGUAAGAUUUAAAAGAUGACAAUUCUAGAAUUGAUGGAUUCGAUUAUAAUUAAAAAUAAAUGAAAUGAAAAAUAGUAUAACAAAAAAGAGGUCACUGUGAUCUGUAAAUUAAACUUUUAAAUCCUUAACAAAUAUAAUAUUGACGUUCUUAAGUGUCUUCUGUUCCGUACUGACAGAUGGCAUCAAACUAAAGCUUGUUUGAAAUUCUGCAUGUAAGAUUAUUAAGCAAUGGGUUAUUUGUGUAUUUUCUAUCUAGCUAACUUUACCAAAUUCUGCUAAUUUC